Molecule: long non-coding RNA, 646 nt
Filed under: Mytilus galloprovincialis (Mediterranean mussel)
Lineage: Eukaryota; Metazoa; Mollusca; Bivalvia; Mytilida; Mytilidae
Source: RNAcentral
UUAUCUUGACGCUUUAAUGAAAAUUGAUAUCCCGUAACAUGUUCAUUGUUAUGAAAAGUGAACAAAUUCAUCCAUGUCAUCUCUCGCAUUAUGUUACACUGAGUGGUAAAUGAACUCGAAUAUCAGACUUAAGAUCUUCAUAUUUACAGCUGGACAUGGGAUACACUACAAAUCUGUUUUCACUUUAAAAACGUCAAAAAUACUGAAAUACUGAAAUUCAAAAAGGAAAGUCCAUUAAUCAAAUGGCAAAAUCAAAACCCCAAACACAUCAAACUAAUAAGUAAAAACUGUCAUAUUCCUGACUUGGUACAUGCAUUUUCUUAUGUAGAAAAUGGUGGAUUUAACCUGGAUAAUAUGUAGCAAAUAAGCACAAAAUAGCAUAUAAACCCAUUGAUUAGCAAAGUACAGCCUUGAGAAUAUCAAUUCUAUCAGUAAGUUCAUUUCACCGAGAAAACCACAGUUUCACUUAAAUGUAAGUUUUACAGAAAAGGUAAUUUUCAGAAAAUCUUGGCAUUUAAUAAAAACAAAACUGCGCUUUUUGUUUAUUUGCUGAAAUAUUUUUUCAUUCAAAUAAAACGAAGGAUUAAUAUAUUUGACACAAGAGCGAAUCUAAGUUAAACAAUACAUGUAAAGGAACAGAUUUGUU